GGGAGUGGCAGACGGGUGAGUAACGCGUGGGAACAUACCCUCCGGUUCGGAGUAACUCAGGGAAACUUGAGCUAAUACCGGAUACGGCUUAGCGGCGAAAGAUUGAUCGCCGGAGGAUUGGCCCGCGUUCGAUUAGCUAGUUGGUGAGGUAACGGCUCACCAAGGCGACGAUCGAUAGCUGGUCUGAGAGGAUGAUCAGCCACAUUGGGACUGAGACACGGCCCAAACUCCUACGGGAGGCAGCAGUGGGGAAUAUUGGACAAUGGGCGCAAGCCUGAUCCAGCCAUGCCGCGUGAGUGAUGACGGCCUUAGGGUUGUAAAGCUCUUUCGCUCGGGACGAUAAUGACGGUACCGAGAUAAGAAGCCCCGGCUAACU
Molecule: ribosomal RNA, 376 nt
Filed under: uncultured bacterium
Lineage: Bacteria
Description: bacterial SSU rRNA
Rfam family: Bacterial small subunit ribosomal RNA
Source: RNAcentral